Molecule: long non-coding RNA, 148 nt
Organism: Drosophila arizonae
Lineage: Eukaryota; Metazoa; Arthropoda; Insecta; Diptera; Drosophilidae
Source: RefSeq, a predicted model, not a curated record
UAAACGUUUGGAAAAAGUUGCUCAAAAUUAAAGGCUUUCCCUGGGGAGUCGUCGCUGCUGCCCUUGCCGCCAAAGCUAUGCCGAUUGCGUAUAAUGCCACCGUUGCCAACGCCUGCAGCUCCUGCUCCGCCGGCGCCGCUGUGUGCUG